RNAcentral lists this ribosomal RNA (183 nucleotides) under uncultured bacterium. RNAcentral's name for it is "partial 16S ribosomal RNA". It matches the Rfam family "Bacterial small subunit ribosomal RNA", at positions 335 to 524 of the family's 1533-position model. The record is from RNAcentral.
ACUCCUACGGGAGGCAGCAGUGCUAUGUCAGAGAAUCUUCCGCAAUGGGCGAAAGCCUGACGGAGCAAUGCCGCGUGCGGGACGAAGGCCUUCGGGUCGUAAACCGCUGUCAUCGGGGACGAACAAAUGAUCGGUACCCGGGGAGGAAGCAACGGCUAACUACGUGCCAGCAGCCGCGGUAAU